CACCUUUUUUUGCCUCACCUUUUUGUAUUUUCGAAGCCUAAACGACACCCUAAUGGGUUUGAUGGCUUUCGUGAUCGGAGGAGACCUCCGACAGCGGUGCGACACCAAGAGACAGGUGGCGGUGGAGUCAACGAUGGUGGUGGAAAGCACACCUUUACUGUUUUGGUGAGAUAGUGGCAGACCUCGGGCGGUGUUCGUGCUGACAUGGCGAAGGCAUAGGAGUAGCAACUGGAGUCUAGGGUUUAGUUUUUUGAAAGAAAGAGUUUAUUUUGUUGGGCCACUGGGCCAUGAAGUGUUUUUAUAAAUGGACUCUCUUUUUUUUUCUAUUAGACUUUAUUAUUUUUAUUUUAACUUGAUUUUUGUUUUAUUUGUUUAUAA
Long non-coding RNA from Gossypium arboreum, 378 nucleotides. RefSeq lists it as uncharacterized. The transcript has 2 exons. The record is from RefSeq and is a predicted model, not a curated record. NCBI's taxonomy places the organism in Eukaryota, Viridiplantae, Streptophyta, Magnoliopsida, Malvales, Malvaceae.